Molecule: ribosomal RNA, 253 nt
Filed under: uncultured bacterium
Lineage: Bacteria
Description: partial 16S ribosomal RNA
Rfam family: Bacterial small subunit ribosomal RNA
Source: RNAcentral
UACGGAGGGGGCUAGCGUUAUUCGGAAUUACUGGGCGUAAAGCGCAUGCAGGCGGGUCGUUAAGUCGGGGGUGAAAUCCCAGGGCUCAACCCUGGAACUGCCUUCGAUACUGGCGAUCUUGAGUCCGGGAGAGGUGAGUGGAACUCCGAGUGUAGAGGUGAAAUUCGUAGAUAUUCGGAAGAACACCAGUGGCGAAGGCGGCUCACUGGCCCAUUACUGACGCUGAGGUGCGAAAGCGUGGGGAGCAAACAGG